Molecule: long non-coding RNA, 2404 nt
Organism: Asparagus officinalis (garden asparagus)
Lineage: Eukaryota; Viridiplantae; Streptophyta; Magnoliopsida; Asparagales; Asparagaceae
Exons: 3
Source: RefSeq, a predicted model, not a curated record
UUGGUUUUUAGUUUUUAGGCUAAGGAGGUUUUUAUUAGAACCUCUCCCUAUAUAUACCUGUUGAAUUCGGAAGCCUUCCUAUGGAAUGUCUAAGCCAAAGAAAAUAAUUCAUGGGGUGGAAGCAGAUCUUAAAGACUAGAAACAUGUUAUUGCAAAAAUGUUAGAUCAUUCUGCAAGAGUUGGUUGGCAUUAGACAAUUUGUGGGGAUUAAGUUUCCCCAACCAUUCAUAUAUUGGUUUGCAUCUGUGCGCGGACUCCUGACUCAGGACAGAACGCGACCGUUUGGGUAUAUGUUCUGUUGACGCUGGCCUACUAUGCUUGAAGGAUGAAGAAUCUGAUGUUCCUUUGUUCUUCCUGUUGUAGUCUAUCUGCUGAUGUUUGGAAUGAUAUAACGCUCUGGCUUAAUUUCCCAUUUGGAAGUUAUGAAUGGGAUGUGAUCAUUGGAUGGUUUACUGAAAGAUGUAAAGGGGGGGAGUGCUUGAAGCAAGUGCGAAGGUGGGCUUUCAAUCCUACUAUUUACCAGUUGUGGAGAGAAAGGAAUGCGAGACUACAUGAUGGGAGAUGGUGUGGAGUUCUAAUUUUUGGUGAACAGAAGCACAAUGAUGGUGUUCAGGGCCAUUUUUCACCUUUGAAUACCUCCUUAUGUUCAUGAUUUUAUUGAGCAGAUUCAGAGAUGAGAGAGUUGCCAGAGUAUGAUUGUUCAUUUGAUUCUGUUACUUGGUUUUUUCUAAUGAUGUUGAAUAAUAUUUUGUCAUCAAGGCAUACCACAACUUUUUGAAUGGAACUGUUAAAACUUAUCUUCCCUGGUGUAGAGUCCAGCUAUUUUUAGACUUUAGUAAAUCAGGAAGUAACUCAUCCCAUGCCCUUCCAUUGAAAAGAAAAGCUGCUGGUGAAUGAAAAUAGUUUCGUGUGAUAAACUGCAUAGGUUUGAACUAAUCUUCUGAUGUUUGAAAAAAAAAAAAAAAGGUUCCAAAGAUCAUAGCUCUGAGAUAAACAUUUGUUAUCCACAAUUUCUGCGAGGACUCUUCUAGUUUUUUUUUUAAAUAUAACUUAUGUGAAUUUGAAGUUAUCUUUCUCAAGCUGAUUGGAAGUUUAUUCAUCAUCCAGACGAUGGCCAUAAGAUACAUGGAUCCUUUGUCAAGCAUGCACAACAACCGAUGUUGCCGCCUAAGGUUUCGACUUCAGUAGCCAACUGUUCUUCAGGUGAAAAGAGAAAAGCUUCAGGGCCUGCUUCCAAGUUCUUCCCCCUCCAAAGAAAAAUACUAUGCAGGAUCAUCUAAAGACCCACACAUGCUAGAAGAUGAUAUGCAAACUGUACCAUCUACAAAAAUACUCAAGUUAACAUGGGGAACACUUAAGCUGUUAACUCAACGUCCCCCAGUGUUUUGUAAUAGAGUCUCCAGUUCUCGGUUCUUCCAUUGCAAAGGGCUCAUUCAAAAAUAAGCCUCAGACUCCAGCCAGUUCUUUUGUCUUCCAAGAUCCCUCCACGAGGGUUACAAUCUCAAAUUGACAUGUCUGUUUCUCCUGUAGAAAAUUCAUCUCUUAAUGCCAGUGGUGCUAGUAGUAACUCCAAGAAGAUUGUUCCUUCCUAUGCAAUAAUCUCUUUUGAAAUUAUCGUCAGCCCUCUCAAACAUGAGGGUUAUUAUGCUGCUGAGCUGAGCUACUAUGUCUCAGCUCCUCCUGUAAAAUCAAGUUCAGAGAAGAUGAAUAAAAGCGAACAUUUUGGUGGUUCUUGUUCCGCAUGGAGUUCAGAGGAACCAGUUGCUGUUGAGAGAUCUCCUUCUACAACCUAUGGGGAAGCUGAAGGAAGCUUUACUUCGAUCUUCCUGUUUUGAUUUUUUUGAUGGGGACUUCAAUAAGCAUCUUUGUGAUAUUGAGCUUGAGUUUGAACAAGUUUACUCUUCUCACCAAUCUUUUGCUCCUGCUGAUUUCCAUCCUGGGCAUGGUUCUUGCCAAAUAUAUCCCUUCUUAGUAUUUCUAUUGUGAUAUUCUCUUAAUGGUAACCUUUUUGAAUAAUACACGUUUAUUAUGUAAACUGAAUUCCGUUUGGAGCAAAACUUGGGCAACGAGUGUUUGGAGACAAGUCGAGUUUUGCAUAACCCUCAUCUGUCUGGAGCAACAGAGAUUUUUUUCCCAGAAGAACAUGGAUUCUUAUUUAUUAGUGCCUCCAAGCAAUUUCCCCUAUUCAGCAUACUGCGGUUCUACUUUUACUUGGGAACACUUCGUUAUUUUCUUUGUUACAUUGCAUGAGAAUGAUCAAGCUAAAGCCAGAAGCAGCUGCUCACUGGAACAAACUAAUUCAUGGGCUAAACCAAAGAUGUUCUGCCAUCAAUGGUUCUGGAAGUGAACUGUACGAUUUUCAAACCUAACCAUGACCAUAUUGAGGUACAUCACUUCAGCGCAA